Vigna umbellata (rice bean) is the source of this 275-nucleotide long non-coding RNA. RefSeq lists it as uncharacterized. Lineage: Eukaryota; Viridiplantae; Streptophyta; Magnoliopsida; Fabales; Fabaceae. The record is from RefSeq and is a predicted model, not a curated record.
UAAAAUAGAGUUCUGUGUAUUUAAAUAUCAGUGUCUCAUUACACUUCUCACCACCACAGAGCAAAGACAACGCUCAUCCUUUUCUCUCUUCUUUUUCUUCUGUGUCUCAAUCAUUCUUGCCAAACAUAGUCUACAUUCUGCUGUUUCAUGGCUGUGAAACUACGGUAUUUGGCUGUGUAGAAUUGAAAAUUGGGUUCAAUUUUCAGAUUCUUCUAUUGAGAAUAUCUGUCUCUUCCUUCUUGCCGAUUCUGGAUUGAAGUCGCAUGCCUCCCUCA